UUGAACGCUGGCGGCAUGCCUUACACCUGCAAGUCGAACGGUAACGGGCCUUCGGGUGCCGACGAGUGGCGAACGGGUGAGUAAUACAUCGGAACGUGCCCGAUCGUGGGGGAUAACGAGGCGAAAGCUUUGCUAAUACCGCAUACGAUCUACGGAUGAAAGCAGGGGACCGCAAGGCCUUGCGCGGACGGAGCGGCCGAUGGCAGAUUAGGUAGUUGGUGGGAUAAAAGCUUACCAAGCCGACGAUCUGUAGCUGGUCUGAGAGGAUGAUCAGCCACACUGGGACUGAGACACGGCCCAGACUCCUACGGGAGGCAGCAGUGGGGAAUUUUGGACAAUGGGCGCAAGCCUGAUCCAGCCAUGCCGCGUGCAGGAUGAAGGCCUUCGGGUUGUAAACUGCUUUUGUACGGAACGAAAAGCCUUCUUUUAAUACAGGAGGGUCAUGACGGUACCGUAAGAAUAAGCACCGGCUAACUACGUG
RNAcentral lists this ribosomal RNA (481 nucleotides) under uncultured bacterium. RNAcentral describes it as "partial 16S ribosomal RNA". It matches the Rfam family "Bacterial small subunit ribosomal RNA", at positions 30 to 507 of the family's 1533-position model. The record is from RNAcentral.